Long non-coding RNA from Acanthopagrus latus (yellowfin seabream), 372 nucleotides. RefSeq lists it as uncharacterized. The transcript has 3 exons. The record is from RefSeq and is a predicted model, not a curated record. Lineage: Eukaryota; Metazoa; Chordata; Actinopteri; Spariformes; Sparidae.
GAGUCAGUCUGCAGGAAGGCAAAAUGGUGGUCACAUCUCUCUGCUUCAGACUGUUGAUGCUUGAAUUUAUUCUUCUUGGGACACAAGUUGUGGACAGUAGUACUCAGAAAAGUGAUGCAGUAUUUCUUCGUAUUACUCCAAACAGACAGCAGCACUUUGAAAACCAGCCUGUCUCUUUUCAUUGUGAGGGGAUUGAUGGUUCAAUUAAAUUCAGAGGGAACACGAGUGCUAAAGAAUUUAAUCUGGAAUGUAAUAUUAAGAGGAUGUCAACAGGGUCUUCCUGCACAUUUGAUAGAGUUUAUUUAGUAGACAGUGGAGAAUACUGGUGUGAAACUAAAGCCAGAGAGAGAAGCAACAGUGUCAACAUCACUG